Molecule: ribosomal RNA, 495 nt
Filed under: uncultured bacterium
Lineage: Bacteria
Description: partial 16S ribosomal RNA
Rfam family: Bacterial small subunit ribosomal RNA
Source: RNAcentral
GACGAACGCUGGCGGCGUGCCUAAUACAUGCAAGUAGAACGCUGAAGGAGGAGCUUGCUCUUCUGGAUGAGUUGCGAACGGGUGAGUAACGCGUAGGUAACCUGCCUGGUAGCGGGGGAUAACUAUUGGAAACGAUAGCUAAUACCGCAUAACAGUAGAUGUUGCAUGACAUUUACUUAAAAGGUGCAAUUGCAUCACUACCAGAUGGACCUGCGUUGUAUUAGCUAGUUGGUGGGGUAACGGCUCGCCAAGGCGACGAUACAUAGCCGACCUGAGAGGGUGAUCGGCCACACUGGGACUGAGACACGGCCCAGACUCCUACGGGAGGCAGCAGUAGGGAAUCUUCGGCAAUGGACGGAAGUCUGACCGAGCAACGCCGCGUGAGUGAAGAAGGUUUUCGGAUCGUAAAGCUCUGUUGUAAGAGAAGAACGAGUGUGAGAGUGGAAAGUUCACACUGUGACGGUAUCUUACCAGAAAGGGACGGCUAACUACGUG